UACGUAGGUGGCAAGCGUUGUCCGGAUUUACUGGGCGUAAAGGAUGCGUAGGCGGAAUAUUAAGUCAGAUGUGAAAUACCCGGGCUCAACCUGGGGGGUGCAUUUGAAACUGGUAUUCUAGAGUGCGGGAGAGGAAAGUGGAAUUCCUAGUGUAGCGGUGAAAUGCGUAGAGAUUAGGAAGAACACCAGUGGCGAAGGCGACUUUCUGGACCGUAACUGACGCUGAGGCAUGAAAGCGUGGGGAGCAAACAGG
Molecule: ribosomal RNA, 253 nt
Filed under: uncultured bacterium
Lineage: Bacteria
Description: partial 16S ribosomal RNA
Rfam family: Bacterial small subunit ribosomal RNA
Source: RNAcentral